RNAcentral lists this ribosomal RNA (253 nucleotides) under uncultured bacterium. RNAcentral describes it as "partial 16S ribosomal RNA". It matches the Rfam family "Bacterial small subunit ribosomal RNA", at positions 524 to 776 of the family's 1533-position model. The record is from RNAcentral.
UACAGAGGGUGCAAGCGUUAAUCGGAAUUACUGGGCGUAAAGCGCACGUAGGUGGCGACGUAAGUCGGGUGUGAAAGCCACGGGCUCAACCUGGGAAUUGCAUUCGAGACUGCAUUGCUGGAGUACGGAAGAGGAGGGCGGAAUUCCCGGUGUAGCGGUGAAAUGCGUAGAUAUCGGGAGGAACAUAAGGGGCGAAGGCGGCCCUCUGGUCCAGUACUGACACUCAAGUGCGAAAGCGUGGGGAGCAAACAUG